Molecule: ribosomal RNA, 253 nt
Filed under: uncultured bacterium
Lineage: Bacteria
Description: partial 16S ribosomal RNA
Rfam family: Bacterial small subunit ribosomal RNA
Source: RNAcentral
UACGUAGGGUGCAGGCGUUAAUCGGAAUUACUGGGCGUAAAGCGUGCGCAGGCGGCUUCUCAAGUCAGAUGUGAAAUCCCCGGGCUCAACCUGGGAACUGCGUUUGAAACUGGGAGGCUAGAGUGCGGCAGAGGGGGGUGGAAUUCCACGUGUAGCAGUGAAAUGCGUAGAUAUGUGGAGGAACACCGAUGGCGAAGGCAGCCCCCUGGGCCUGCACUGACGCUCAUGCACGAAAGCGUGGGGAGCAAACAGG